Molecule: ribosomal RNA, 301 nt
Filed under: uncultured bacterium
Lineage: Bacteria
Description: partial 16S ribosomal RNA
Rfam family: Bacterial small subunit ribosomal RNA
Source: RNAcentral
CAGCAGCCACGGGAAUACGGAGGGAGCUAGCGUUGUUCGGAAUUACUGGGCGUAAAGCGCGCGUAGGCGGUUACUCAAGUCAGAGGUGAAAGCCCGGGGCUCAACCCCGGAACUGCCUUUGAAACUAGGUGACUAGAAUCUUGGAGAGGUCAGUGGAAUUCCGAGUGUAGAGGUGAAAUUCGUAGAUAUUCGGAAGAACACCAGUGGCGAAGGCGACUGACUGGACAAGUAUUGACGCUGAGGCACGAAAGCGUGGGGAUCAAACAGGAUUAGAUACCCCAGUAGUCCCUGUCUCUUAUAC